CCGCACCACCAGGGCCGGCCAAUCAGGGCGCGUCCCCAGCCCGCCGCAGAGCCCGCCGCCUGCCAGCCAAUCAGCAGCUGGCUCCUCCCCCUCCUCCACGCGCCCAGCCAAUCGUGGCUGCGGGGCAGCCAGCCAAUCGGGCGUCGUGCCACGGUGCCGGGGGGGCCAAUGGGGAGCCUGCGAGAGGGGCGCGAACCCCCGGGCGGUUGCCGCGGCAACGCCACGCCCCCCCCAUUGUUCCCCCAUUGUGACGUCACGUCUCGUUGCCCCGGGCAACCAGACGGGGCGGGGCGGGGGGGGGAGGGGGCAGGUUCCCUGCUCCCACGGCACCUCCCAGUUGGGCUGGGGGGGUAAUUAACGUCGGGGGGGGUAAUUAAUGCUUGGGGGGGGUAAUUAGUGCCUGGGGGGGUAAUUAACAUCGGGGGGGGUAAUUCAUGCCUGUGGGGGGGUAAUUAACGCCUGGGGAAGGGUAAUUAAUGCCUGAGGGGGUCGUGGGGGAGGUGGUGGGGGGGGACAGGGAUUGGGUAGUUGGGGGUCUCCUGGUGUUGAGGGGGGUCCCGGGGGGGUCCCAGUACCUGCUGCUGGGGCAGGGUCAGAAAGUUGCCGUCGCGGGGUCCGAGGCCGACAAAGCGGGGGGCAGCGCCGUCGGCGCAGACGAACUGCACGAAGUCCUUGAGCGAGUCCUGGCCGUGGUGGUAGCGGAUGGUGGGGUGCGCGAAGUACGGCCCCGACUGCGGCAGCAGCGACCCCGACGGGAAGUGCAGCGCCGAGGCCGUGGCCCGCGGGCUGCCUGCAGCGAGCCUCAGCGCUGGGGGGGCAACGGGGGGGCCCCCCCUCCAGCCCCCUCCUACCCUUUAAAAGCCCCCCUCAAACCCUCCUGGUAACCCUUCCCCCCCCAUCCCUUCCCGUCCCUUAAGUCCCCUUUAGCCCCCCAUUACCCCCCCUUUAUUCCCCCUUUAACCCCCCCUUUACCCCCUCCCUUUACCCCCCCUCUUUAACCCCCUCUAAUUUACCCCCCCUUUUAACCCCCCCCCUUUGGCCCCCUCCCCCUCCCCUUCACCCCCCACCCCCCCAGCCCAGGGGUCUGGAAGGAGAAGGGGGGGGCCCAAGGAGAGGGGGGGGACCCCCAAUGAAGAGUCUGGGGAGGGUUCCAAAGAGAGGUCCUGGGGGGGGUCAAGGUGGGGGGGUCCUGGAGGGAAGGUGGGGUCCCAAG
Molecule: long non-coding RNA, 1213 nt
Filed under: Cairina moschata (Muscovy duck)
Lineage: Eukaryota; Metazoa; Chordata; Aves; Anseriformes; Anatidae
Description: domestica (muscovy Duck (domestic type)) lncRNA (ENSCMMG00000013113.1)
Source: RNAcentral